AGUGAACGCUGGCGGUAGGCCUAACACAUGCAAGUCGAACGGCAGCACAGUAAGAGCUUGCUCUUACGGGUGGCGAGUGGCGGACGGGUGAGGAAUACAUCGGAAUCUACUUUUUCGUGGGGGAUAACGUAGGGAAACUUACGCUAAUACCGCAUACGACCUACGGGUGAAAGCAGGGGAUCUUCGGACCUUGCGCGAUUGAAUGAGCCGAUGUCGGAUUAGCUAGUUGGCGGGGUAACGGCCCACCAAGGCGACGAUCCGUAGCUGGUCUGAGAGGAUGAUCAGCCACACUGGAACUGAGACACGGUCCAGACUCCUACGGGAGGCAGCAGUGGGGAAUAUUGGACAAUGGGCGCAAGCCUGAUCCAGCCAUACCGCGGGGGUGAAGAAGGCCUUCGGGUUGUAAAGCCCUUUUGUUGGGAAAGAAAAGCAGCAGGUUAAGACCCCGCUGUUCGGACGGGACCCAAAGAAGAAGCACCGGCUAACUUCGU
Molecule: ribosomal RNA, 491 nt
Filed under: uncultured bacterium
Lineage: Bacteria
Description: partial 16S ribosomal RNA
Rfam family: Bacterial small subunit ribosomal RNA
Source: RNAcentral